This 77-nucleotide transfer RNA is filed under the name Candidatus Firestonebacteria bacterium RIFOXYA2_FULL_40_8. Its description in RNAcentral is "tRNA-Arg". It matches the Rfam family "tRNA". From Rfam's summary of the family: Transfer RNA (tRNA) molecules are approximately 80 nucleotides in length. Their secondary structure includes four short double-helical elements and three loops (D, anti-codon, and T loops). Further hydrogen bonds mediate the characteristic L-shaped molecular structure. tRNAs have two regions of fundamental functional importance: the anti-codon, which is responsible for specific mRNA codon recognition, and the 3' end, to which the tRNAs corresponding amino acid is attached (by aminoacyl-tRNA synthetases). tRNAs cope with the degeneracy of the genetic code in two manners: having more than one tRNA (with a specific anti-codon) for a particular amino acid; and 'wobble' base-pairing, i.e. permitting non-standard base-pairing at the 3rd anti-codon position. Lineage: Bacteria; Candidatus Firestoneibacteriota. RNAcentral also lists the same sequence under 1 other name. The record is from RNAcentral.
GCGCCCGUAGCGCAAUUGGAUAGAGUAUCUGGCUUCGAACCAGAGGGUUGCAGGUUCAAAUCCUGCCGGGCGCACCA